UCCCAAAUGAAAGGAAAGAUAUAAUCACCUCAACUGCUUGUUGGACAGCAAUGGUUGGCUUGCUUGCAUAUUUGUCGUUUACAAUGGGACCAAUGCCAUUGCUUAAACUCUACGGCAUCCCUUAUGCGGUACAUGCUUCAGUUCCUACAUAUAUUUCUUCAAAACAAUUUCGGUAAAAGUACUACGAAGGCCUUUAGACUAGAAACCGAAUUGCAUUUUACCCCCUCUAUUUAAAAUAAGCAAACUGGUCCUUCUACGUUAGUUUUUAACAAUAAAAAUGAACGAAAUUUUUAACAGAAAGGCCAAGUUUGCUCUUUAGUCUAACAUACAGGGACCAAUUUGCCCAUUUUUUGAGUGAAUGGAGUAAAAUGCAAUCUAACUCUCAGUACAGUGGUCUUAAUGGUACUUUUACCAAAAAAAUUCAUAUUUCUGGUCUGAUAUAAUGGACUCACAUAUAAAAUGGCAGAUAUUUGUGAUGUGGUUGGAUUUGGUGACAUACCUACAUCACCAUGGUCAUGACGAGAAGCUUCCAUGGUAUCGAGGAAAGGUUCGGGAUAAUGUUUAUUCUUCUUCACCAAGAAACCAUCCAUGUUAUGUAUGGUAUAACAAUUGAAACUUCUCUGUGUUUUACUAACCAGGAGUGGAGUUACCUGAGAGGAGGGCUUACGACGCUUGAUCGGGAUUAUGGAUGGAUUAACAACAUCCACCACGAUAUUGGAACUCAUGUUAUACAUCAUCUCUUCCCUCAAAUCCCACAUUAUCACUUGAUUGAAGCUGUGAGUAUCAUCAUCAUCAUCAUCAUCUUAUUUUC
RNAcentral lists this long non-coding RNA (811 nucleotides) under Gossypium barbadense (sea-island cotton). RNAcentral describes it as "long non-coding RNA (GBAR_LNC023606)". Lineage: Eukaryota; Viridiplantae; Streptophyta; Magnoliopsida; Malvales; Malvaceae. The record is from RNAcentral.